RNAcentral lists this long non-coding RNA (1501 nucleotides) under Helianthus annuus (common sunflower). The record is from RNAcentral. Lineage: Eukaryota; Viridiplantae; Streptophyta; Magnoliopsida; Asterales; Asteraceae.
UCUCUCAAAACCCACCCUAUCGUCAUUUCCUCUCUCAGAUAUCAGAUCCAGCUAUGAGGUUUCCCUCCUACAAAAAACCCUAACACAAUCUCUUCUAUCAGAUCAGCGAUUGGGUUCCAGAAAAAUCGCUUCAUAACAACCAGUAGUAGCAAUGCGAGAUCACAAGUGGAAUAUAAUAAUUAUGGCCUGAAACAAAGGCAUCAGGAUGUUGAAGCUCAUAUUGCAGACGUACGUGGUUAAACUCGGGUUUUCUUGAUGCCUUUUUUAAUGCUCUGCCAGCUUCCAGAAAUGAAGAAGUGGAAGCAAAUGGGGAAAAAGAUAUUGUUUUACCGGAAUAACAGCUGAUAAAAACGUUGAUGUUCAUGUUCUUGAUACCAAAGUUGGAAAAAGAUUGUUGAAUGUGUAGUUGAGCUUGAAGAGCUUCAGACCACAUCUUCAGUUGUAGACAUGAAAACAGAUGAAAUCAGCUUGCAGACAGUUUAUGUCUGCAAAAACAAACAACACCUUAGGUAUAUCUACUUGAAUCCAGGCUAAGAUUUCCGCCAUGCAUAACAUGUUGGCCAUGCCAGUGGGUAAGAAGCAAAAGCGAAAUUUUAGUACUAUUGUUCAAAAUGUACAAUGAUCAGUUAUAUUCUCAUAUUUAUUAGCUAUUUGAUAUUUAUUUUUCUAUGAAUUAUAGUCGCCUGACAUUAGCAUUUUCGGUUUCUUCAAGAAAAUUUUAAGAUUAUAUUGUUCCAUUAUGAUGGGAAAUUGGAUUGCUGGCAAGAUCUUGAGUGGAACAGCAAAGCCAUACAUGUUGUAGCUCAGAACCGAACAAAGUGCUAAGGAAUUUACAACCUUUGUUUAUCAGAAUCUAUGGUUUUUAUCUGUAGUUAUUGGUAUUGCUAUGAUUUUUGCCUCAUCUACAAUAGGUGAUAUGCAAAGCAGUUUCUGCAUCCAGCAGCUGUUGUGUCUAUAUAUGUUUAUAUAUUUUUCUGGGAUGAAGACCUUGGAAUGCAGCAUUUUAAUCCUAAAAGGUACUUGGAUAUAACUAAAACAGAGGGGUUAGAGAUAUCACAACCAACUUUAGAUCUAAAUUCAACUGAGGAACGAGUGUAUGAUAGCAGAGGCAGUGUGAAAUGUUCAGGUGCGAGUGAUGCCCUUCCAUGUAUUGAAUUUGUAGCAGGAAUGGAUCCAGUUUGUAGAGGGAGGAGCUUCUGAAUAACGGUUUGAGUCCUUGACUUUGUUUUCUAUCUCUCUCUAGAGAAAACCUAGUUCCGCCACCGCCUCUCUCGCUAUUGAUGGCAACCACGCCAAAUCCACCUCCUUCAACCUCUAGGGCUGUUCAAAAAGCUCGUGGCUCGGAGCUCGCUCGAAGCUCACUCGGAUUUAGCUCGGAAAAAGCUCGCUCGAUAUGGCUCGGUUUAAAAGUGAGCCGAGCCGGCUCGGCUCGUAACGAGCCAAGUUGGCUCGGUUUGGCUCGCUUUGUAGCUCGGCUCGGUUUAGCUCGGAUUAUUUUACU